GAAGGUAUAGCUCGGUGGUAGAGUGCAUGCCUAGCAUGCAGAAGGUCCUGGGUUCAAUCCCUAGUACCUCCA
This 72-nucleotide transfer RNA is filed under the name Camelus bactrianus (Bactrian camel). It matches the Rfam family "tRNA". From Rfam's summary of the family: Transfer RNA (tRNA) molecules are approximately 80 nucleotides in length. Their secondary structure includes four short double-helical elements and three loops (D, anti-codon, and T loops). RNAcentral also lists the same sequence under 2 other names. Lineage: Eukaryota; Metazoa; Chordata; Mammalia; Artiodactyla; Camelidae. The record is from Rfam by way of RNAcentral.